GACGGAGGGGGCUAGCGUUGUUCGGAAUUACUGGGCGUAAAGAGCACGUAGGCGGCGGUGCAAGUUGGGGGUGAAAUCCCGGGGCUCAACCCUGGAAUUGCCUCCAAAACUGUGCUGCUUGAGUUCGGAAGAGGAGAGUGGAAUUCCCAGUGUAGAGGUGAAAUUCGUAGAUAUGUGGAGGAAUACCGAUGGCGAAGGCAGCCCCCUGGGAUAACACUGACGCUCAUGCACGAAAGCGUGGGGAGCAAACAGG
RNAcentral lists this ribosomal RNA (253 nucleotides) under uncultured bacterium. RNAcentral's name for it is "partial 16S ribosomal RNA". It matches the Rfam family "Bacterial small subunit ribosomal RNA", at positions 524 to 776 of the family's 1533-position model. The record is from RNAcentral.